This 194-nucleotide ribosomal RNA is filed under the name uncultured beta proteobacterium GT14-2. Its description in RNAcentral is "partial 16S ribosomal RNA". Lineage: Bacteria; Pseudomonadati; Pseudomonadota; Betaproteobacteria. The record is from RNAcentral.
AUUACCGCGGCUGCUGGCACAGAGUUAGCCGGUGCUUCUUUUGUGGGUAACGUCAAUCCUAGUGGCUAUUCACCACUAAGCCUUCCUCCCCACCGAAAGAGCUUUACAACCCGCAGGCCUUCUUCACUCACGCGGCAUCGCUGGAUCAGGGUUGCCCCCAUUGUCCAAAAUUCCCCACUGCUGCCUCCCGUAGG